This 253-nucleotide ribosomal RNA is filed under the name uncultured bacterium. Its description in RNAcentral is "partial 16S ribosomal RNA". It matches the Rfam family "Bacterial small subunit ribosomal RNA", at positions 524 to 776 of the family's 1533-position model. The record is from RNAcentral.
UACGUAGGGUCCGAGCGUUGUCCGGAAUUAUUGGGCGUAAAGAGCUCGUAGGCGGUUUGUCGCGUCUGCUGUGAAAUCCCGAGGCUCAACCUCGGGUCUGCAGUGGGUACGGGCAGACUGGAGUGCGGUAGGGGAGAAUGGAAUUCCUGGUGUAGCGGUGAAAUGCGCAGAUAUCAGGAGGAACACCGGUGGCGAAGGCGGGUCUCUGGGCCGAUAUUGACGCUGAGGAGCGAAAGCGUGGGGAGCAAACAGG